GUGAGACAGGUGCUGCAUGGCUGUCGUCAGCUCGUGUUGUGAAAUGUUGGGUUAAGUCCCGCAACGAGCGCAACCCUUAUCCUUUGUUGCCAGCGAUUAGGUCGGGAACUCAAAGGAGACUGCCAGUGAUAAACUGGAGGAAGGUGGGGAUGACGUCAAGUCAUCAUGGCCCUUACGACCAGGGCUACACACGUGCUACAAUGGCGCAUACACAGAGAAGCGACCUCGC
This 229-nucleotide ribosomal RNA is filed under the name Salmonella enterica subsp. enterica serovar Anatum. RNAcentral describes it as "partial 16S ribosomal RNA". It matches the Rfam family "Bacterial small subunit ribosomal RNA", at positions 1029 to 1258 of the family's 1533-position model. Lineage: Bacteria; Pseudomonadati; Pseudomonadota; Gammaproteobacteria; Enterobacterales; Enterobacteriaceae. The record is from RNAcentral.